Long non-coding RNA from Peromyscus eremicus (cactus mouse), 750 nucleotides. RefSeq lists it as uncharacterized. NCBI's taxonomy places the organism in Eukaryota, Metazoa, Chordata, Mammalia, Rodentia, Cricetidae. The record is from RefSeq and is a predicted model, not a curated record. The transcript has 2 exons.
CUUACCUGAUUUUACAAGGACUGACUGUGGCCACCACCUUGCUGGUGGGGGCAGGCCUCAUGCAGCCAGCCCCCUUUGACCUGGGAAGGAGCUCCAGACAUUGGGCCACAGCAGGUGCUCUGGACUCUAUACCUGGCACUUUCCCGCGCCCCGGAGACCUGCCUGCCCCCACCCAGCUACUGUUGUGGUUUGCAGGGGAAGUGGCCCCCAGAGACUCAUGCCUUUGAACUCCUGGUCACCAGCUGGUGGCACUCUUUUGAAAGGCUGUGUGCCUUUAGGAGGCAGACCUCACUGGAGGAGGGGCUAACAGUUGAGAGAUGGCCUUGAGUCUCAGGAGAGGCUUGUACUCCUGAACACUGUUGGUUGGAACUGUUAAUGAUCAUGGGUGCCUUUGAAGUUGGAAUGGGUAUAGUUUGCAUUAUGAAGUGGCCAUGAGCCUGUGGGGGCCAGGGGCACAAUGUAGUGGUUAGAAUGUAUAGGCUCAUGGGGUUGAAUGCUCACUCCUUGGCUGGUGGCACUCUUUUGGAAGGUUGUAGAACCUUCGAGAGGUGGAACGUUGCUGGAAGAAGGGAAUCAGUGGGGCUGGGUCUUGUGCUUCCAUAGCCCGGGCCAACUUUCUCAUCCUCUCUGUGCUUCCCAGCUGUGAUGCAGAGUGGUCAGCCUUCUUACACCACUGCCACCACGCCUUCCCUGCUACAACAGACUGUAUCCCCUCAGACUGCAAAGACAAUAAACCUUUCUUGCUUUAAA